CCCGCCGACGUCCAAGCUGUCGUUCUUCCUCGCCGCCACGCCGCCGUCCUGCCCGCUCCUCGGCGCGACCUUCCCGGUCCUCGUCCGCGCGCUCGCCAGACACUCCCCUCCCCUCCUCGACGCGCUCCUCCCGUUCGCGCGCUCCCCCUCGCCUCGUCGCCCUCCGAGCUCCUCCCCGCUCUGCUCUCCGCGCUCCUGUCCGCUUCCCGCGUCGACGCCGCGCUCGCCCUC
Molecule: long non-coding RNA, 231 nt
Filed under: Oryza brachyantha (malo sina)
Lineage: Eukaryota; Viridiplantae; Streptophyta; Magnoliopsida; Poales; Poaceae
Description: long non-coding RNA (OBRA_LNC000906)
Source: RNAcentral